Molecule: long non-coding RNA, 3697 nt
Organism: Corapipo altera (White-ruffed manakin)
Lineage: Eukaryota; Metazoa; Chordata; Aves; Passeriformes; Pipridae
Exons: 2
Source: RefSeq, a predicted model, not a curated record
UAAUGUUGAGGUGGAACUUCUUGUGAAGUCUUCAGCCACUUGAGCUGUAUUUUUUCCCUACAAGGUGCUUUUUCACACCUCUCAUUUGGCUUUCUUGUCUUCAGUUAGAGUAACAGUAUUCUAGUUAAUGGUGGCUUUUAUUUUAAAGGAAAGAGGAAUGCAAGAAAAGUAAAGCGCUUCACUGAUAAUUUGAUGAUUACUAGAAAGUUGCUCUGCAAAGAUCAUUUCUGUGUCAUAAUGAAGCUGAUAUCUUCUCUCUAUACCCAACCAACCAGCUGUUGGCAAUCAUGCCAAAAACCAAACCAAAACCUGAAAUGGGUUUUCUAUUACCUGCACUUCAGUGUUCUACUGUGACCCAAGAGUUAUGGCAAUAGCUCUCUUUAGCAAGUACCCACUGCUGCUUGUGGGAUGCUGCCGAAGCUCCAGCAGGGCCACAGCAGGAUGCAAGCUCUAGCAGGUUUGUGCUAUAGCAUAUUUGAAAGCUUCUAGUCUUUUCUGUAAAGAGCUAUAUGAAGAAGUUUGUUAAGUUUGGUUGACUUUUGAUCUAUAUUCUAAGUGGUUUUUUUUCCCUGAAGGAAAGGAUAACGUGAUUAGUGUGUUUCUGUAUUAGGAUGCUUCCACUCCCUCCUUUUGAAUUUUAGGGCAUCUUUUAUGCUUGUAUUCUCAAUAUAUACAUACAGAGGCCAUAAUAUUUGACCUUUGGAAAUCCCAUAUUAUGGGUCUGAUUUAUGCUGUGAUGACAGACAUAAGAGCCCACUGAAAUCAGUGUGGCUCUGGAUGGUUACUGUGGUUCCUCUCUGAGCCUCAGAUGGAAGGAUCUGCUUCUAUGUUAAUAUCUAAGAAGAAACAAAGGGAAUUGGAAUUCAUGUUUUAUAAAGAAUCAAUGUAAUUUUCAUGUUCCUACCUCACUCCCCAUCAUCCUAAAAUGCAAAGAAAGCUAACCCCUUAAAAUGUCAAGUGUCAGUGGAGAUGUAUGUUAAAAAUUAAAAUAUAUUUUUUUUUCCACUGCUGUGAAUACUGUUUUAAUGGCACUGGAGAGAUGUGCUGUUGCAGACAGGUGCUCCUGUAGAUUUAAAUACUAUGUCAAUCACACCUGCUCUAAACAGGGUUAAGAGGCAGACAGCUUUCAUCAAAGGCCAGAUGAACCCCUCCCAAUUUAGAUCAACUCCACUGCAAUUAAACAGUGUUAGUGUUAGGCCUUCACAAUUGUCAAUACCUGGUUGCUACCCACUGUUAGCAGCAAUUGAUAGUUAUUCUAAAGAAUUUCUUUAGGUUUUAGAAAAUGCUUUAAAUGAAAGCGUAGAGGAAAACACAGCACUUGGAAAAAGGAGGAGAGGGUGUGGGUAGUUACAGUACUGAACUGCAGAAGAGCUGUAUUUCAUAGUAACUGUGCUGCUGUUUGUUCUUGGAAAAAUCACUUAUUGUUCUCUUAUCCCUGUACUGCUCUGAAGAAUCUACAAAAAAAAACAUUAAGAAAACAAAUUCAAGGAAGCAGUGGAACGUGAAUUCAAGAGCAGAAUGUGAUUGCACAAGGAGAUUCUACACCGAACUGAAACAUUCAUGUUUUGGAUCAUUGAGAACAAAUGAAGUACAAUACUGGUCUGUUCCCUUUCUAUUCUUUUGUCUCCGUUUUGUUUUACUUUCCUUAGCUUAGAUUUUUUUUCCUUUUUGGAGUCCUGCAGGGAGGAAAAAGGAGCCUUUGUUUUAAAAAGUCUGAGACCAACAGUGGCCCAUUGAUCAUAAUUAAGUCUAAAAUAAUACGCUUUUGCUGACCUGUUUGUAUUGAAUCCAAAAAAUUUUAUGUUAUACCUGCUGUAGUCUUAGUCUGCCCCCAGAUUCAGUUGCUUGUUCCUGAGCUUCUGGUUCUGGGGCAUUAGCUUUAAAAGCCUAAAUAAACCUGCGUGUUUUCAGGGCUGCAUGUGAAAACACCUUCUUUUUUGUGUAAGAACAAAUCUGUCAUAAUCAGAUGUUGUCUUUGUCAUGUACUCUCUUUUCUUUGACAGACAGCUGUCCCCAUAACAGCCAUCUCUGUUGUCAAUAACUUCCUCAGAUCGUGAAAUGACACACAGGAUUGCAGUAGUUCUCAUAGUAACACUGGGAGGUUGCAUAAAAUUUUUAAGUAAUCUUGCCGUGAUGUGCUUGGACCCAAUUCAGAGCUUUCUGAAGUCUGUAUGAAACUCUGCUGAUUUCAACAAUCAUUCAUCUCUUCAGGGGCUGCUUCUGACCUUCUGCAUUCAGGUUUUUAACAUGACAAACUACAGAGGCUUCACCCUGUGGCUCUUGGUAGUCUAGUACGCUCUAAUGAGUCAAUAUGCUUAGUCAUAGCGCAAAUAUGCUUCAGGAAAAUAGUGGAGAGAUUCACAAAAAAUAUGUCUUGGCAUCAUUAUCCUAUGAAUGGGGAGUGUUAGGUGCCUUGGACAUGCUUCUAUCUGUUCUCAGCCUGAGUCUUUACAGACACCCACAACACACACGCAGGCAUAGUCCUAUCCAGCUCCUAAGAAUGCAUGAUCAGGAUAAAAGCCCUUCAAAGGUCACCCAAUACCUGUCUCCCAGACUGCUCAUUUGACUCACCAGCUGGUCUGAUUUGGAGUUCAUUAUCAGAUCAGAUGCACAGACAUAGAAUAGAGAACACAAUCACACAGAAGGUAGUUAAAAACUGGAAUUUAAAAAGAGGAUAGGACAGACAGUGGCAAUUAGCCAUGGGGCUCAGUCACACAAACAUACUGACCAGCAGCCUGCUCACAUGCAGAUGGCCUUUUUUUAUAUCCUUGCUCCAACACACCUCAAUCUUUUUAGCUCUUCCCUGAUCUGCCUUUGUUCCUCCCUUCCUUGUCUUUGGCCUUUUCCCCAAACAUCUUAUAGUAAUCCUGUAUCAUUGUAAUAGUCUCCUAAUCAAUCACAGUGUUUCCCUCUCAGACACUUUCUUGUAAAUCCUGCUCUCCUUUAUGCAAUAGUCCCCUUAGGUUGUACAGCCUACCAGAGGGUUUUGAUUGUUGAAUUUCUCAGUAGGUUUUGCGCCAGGGAAACAGCUUUGGUGGUCUUAGGGACAAUUGACUCAGAUGAACCCAGUUUUCUGAAUUUUUGUGUUUAUUUUGAAUAACCAUUAGCUACACUGAUCACAAAUCUGUCUAUUCUGCAUUAUUUACUCCCUUCAGAGCUGCUUAUUCAAUACCAUUAUCAUUAAAAAUCUCAUUUGGCCCAACCAGAUGAAUUGGAAUAGGGUGAGAAUCCACUUAGUGCAUUCUACAGCAACCCAUCCUGCAGCAUGCAUUGAGUCCUCAAGCAGAGAUUAUACUUUACAGUUUUGACUGCUGUGUGUUUUAGGGUAUCUGAGAACACAAGCUUGGUACUGACUUGCUACUGAGGGAUAGCCUUCGGAUUCUGUACAGUUGGAAGGCGAGCAGGGAAGAAUGUAGGGUGGUGAGACCAGCCUGGGCUCACUGCCAGGGGAACCAUGUGGCCGCGGCAGGGACACAACCUGGUAGGUGGAUGAAGACAACCAGUGGGCUGCACCAGAAAGCGAAGAUUACCUUUUAAGAAAGAAAAGAGUGAGGCCUAGCAUGGGAGGACUGAGGGAGUGGUUGUGCAAAUCGAGGGGUCUUAAAAGGGCUCAUCCCUCCCAGUCAGGUGUGCUCGAACCUGGUCACAAGUUCAGUGCAGCCAGCACACUGUUAAUAAAGUUCUUUGUUUCACUUUA